Long non-coding RNA from Amphimedon queenslandica, 139 nucleotides. RefSeq lists it as uncharacterized. Lineage: Eukaryota; Metazoa; Porifera; Demospongiae; Haplosclerida; Niphatidae. The record is from RefSeq and is a predicted model, not a curated record. The transcript is spliced from 2 exons.
CCAUUAAGAUUACAGUUAAUAAUCCAGCAUAUGGUCAGAUUGAACAAACAGCAAGACCUGUACAGUCAGUACAAGGAUCAGUAUUGAACACAAAUGUUAAUCCAGCAUAUGAGACUGUUGUUGUUUAUGAAUAUGUAAU